GCGGGGAGCGGAUUGGUCGGAAAGUAGGUUAGUGGUGCGACAUUUAGGGAAGGCAGAAAGUAGGUCAGGGACGGAGGUGCCUGUUUACCCGCGCCGGACUCACCGCCGCCGCCGCCGCGGGAUCCGAGUGGGGGCGCGGACGCGGGCGCUCCCGCGAGCCACGGUGGUGCUGGCUAGAGUGCACACUUUUGGACCCAAACUUAAAUUUUCAAAUGUGGAAUCCUAGGACUUCACUGCCUUCUACCCCUCCUUUUCUCACCAGCGCGAGUUCAUCCAUCUCAAGCACAGUUAACCUGACGAGCAUCCUGAGUGUUUUUCAGAUACGGAGCUCAUUCAGUCUGUGAGGAGGCAGCCUCCUCCUGUUACAGGUGAGACACUGCCGCUCCCAGAGGUCAGGGAACUGGCCCAGCACACACACCCUGUAGGUGGCAGAACUGGGAUUU
RNAcentral lists this long non-coding RNA (443 nucleotides) under Zalophus californianus (California sea lion). RNAcentral's name for it is "lncRNA (ENSZCAG00015007289.1)". Lineage: Eukaryota; Metazoa; Chordata; Mammalia; Carnivora; Otariidae. The record is from RNAcentral.